AGAGUUUGAUCAUGGCUCAGGACGAACGCUGGCGGCGUGCUUAACACAUGCAAGUCGAACGGAAAGGCCCUUCGGGGUACUCGAGUGGCGAACGGGUGAGUAACACGUGGGUGAUCUGCCCUGCACUUUGGGAUAAGCCUGGGAAACUGGGUCUAAUACCGAAUAGGACCACGCGCUUCAUGGUGUGUGGUGGAAAGCUUUUGCGGUGUGGGAUGGGCCCGCGGCCUAUCAGCUUGUUGGUGGGGUAAUGGCCUACCAAGGCGACGACGGGUAGCCGGCCUGAGAGGGUGACCGGCCACACUGGGACUGAGAUACGGCCCAGACUCUUACGGGAGGCAGCAGUGGGGAAUAUUGCACAAUGGGCGCAAGCCUGAUGCAGCGACGCCGCGUGAGGGAUGACGGCCUUCGGGUUGUAAACCUCUUUCAAUAGGGACGAAGCGCAAGUGACGGUACCUAUAGAAGAAGCACCGGCCAACUACGUGCCAGCAGCCGCGGUAAUACGUAGGGUGCGAGCGUUGUCCGGAAUUACUGGGCGUAAAGAGCUCGUAGGUGGUUUGUCGCGUUGUUCGUGAAAACUCACAGCUUAACUGUGGGCGUGCGGGCGAUACGGGCAGACUAGAGUACUGCAGGGGAGACUGGAAUUCCUGGUGUAGCGGUGGAAUGCGCAGAUAUCAGGAGGAACACCGGUGGCGAAGGCGGGUCUCUGGGCAGUAACUGACGCUGAGGAGCGAAAGCGUGGGGAGCGAACAGGAUUAGAUACCCUGGUAGUCCAA
Molecule: ribosomal RNA, 773 nt
Filed under: uncultured bacterium
Lineage: Bacteria
Description: bacterial SSU rRNA
Rfam family: Bacterial small subunit ribosomal RNA
Source: RNAcentral